UACGGGGGGGGCAAGCGUUGUUCGGAAUUACUGGGCGUAAAGGGUUCGUAGGUGGCCUGCUAAGUCAGACGUGAAAUCCCUCAGCUCAACUGGGGAACUGCGUCUGAUACUGGUUGGCUUGAGUGCAGGAGAGGAACGCGGAAUUCCAGGUGUAGCGGUGAAAUGCGUAGAUAUCUGGAGGAACACCGGUGGCGAAGGCGGCGUUCUGGACUGCAACUGACGCUGAGGAACGAAAGCCAGGGGAGCAAACGGG
Molecule: ribosomal RNA, 253 nt
Filed under: uncultured bacterium
Lineage: Bacteria
Description: partial 16S ribosomal RNA
Rfam family: Bacterial small subunit ribosomal RNA
Source: RNAcentral